AGGGUGUAGCUCAGUGGUAGAGUGCCUGCCUAGCAUGCAUGAAAUCCUGGGUUCAAUUCUCAGCAUCUCUG
Molecule: transfer RNA, 71 nt
Filed under: Camelus bactrianus (Bactrian camel)
Lineage: Eukaryota; Metazoa; Chordata; Mammalia; Artiodactyla; Camelidae
Also listed under: 2 other names
Rfam family: tRNA
About the family: Transfer RNA (tRNA) molecules are approximately 80 nucleotides in length.
Source: Rfam by way of RNAcentral